Molecule: long non-coding RNA, 288 nt
Organism: Sander lucioperca (pikeperch)
Lineage: Eukaryota; Metazoa; Chordata; Actinopteri; Perciformes; Percidae
Exons: 3
Source: RefSeq, a predicted model, not a curated record
UGAAAGCUGCUCCACAUUGUUCACAGCUGUACGGCUUCUCUCCAGUGUGAAUGCGUUGGUGUCUUUUAAGGUUACUACCCCGAGAAAAAGUUUUCCCACAUUGCUCACACCAGAACGGCUUCUCUCCAGUGUGAAUGCGUUGGUGGACUUUAAGGGCACUACUCUGAGAAAAAGUUUUCCCACAUUGUUCACACCAGAACGGCUUCUCUCCAGUGUGAACACGUCGGUGGAUUUAAGGUCACAUCUCUGAGAAAAAGUUUUUCCACAUUGUUCACAGCUGUACGGUUU